UUCUUUAUGAUUUUAUAUAAAGUAAUUUCUGCCCAAUGAUUAGGUUUAAAUGGCUGCAGUAUUUUAACUGUACAAAGGUAGCAUAAUAAUUAGUUUUUUAAUUGGGAACUUGAAUGAAAGGAUAGAUGAAAAAUUUUCUUUAUUGAUUUUAUUAUUAGAAUUUUAUUUGUUAGUUAAAAAGCUAACUUUUGUUUUAGUGACGAUAAGACCCUAUAGAACUUUAAAGUUUAAUUUGUUUAUUUAUUUUUUAGGUUUAAUUUGGUUUAUUAAUUAAGUUUUUUAAUUGGGGUGAUUAGUAAAUUUAAUAUUCUUUUUUUUGUUUAAUCAUUAAUUUAUGUUUUAUUGAUCCUUUCUUAAGAUUUCAAGAUAAGUUACCUUAGGGAUAACAGCGUAAUUUCAGUGGAAAGUUCAUAUUUAAAUUGUAGUUUGCGACCUCGAUGUUGAAUUAAGAGUAAUUUUGGGUGUAGAAGCUUAAAAUAUAAGUCUGUUCGACUUUUAUAAUCUUACA
This 508-nucleotide ribosomal RNA is filed under the name Tialidia congoensis. RNAcentral's name for it is "partial large subunit ribosomal RNA". The stretch from base 382 to 508 matches the Rfam family "Bacterial large subunit ribosomal RNA", at positions 2473 to 2600 of the family's 2925-position model. Lineage: Eukaryota; Metazoa; Arthropoda; Insecta; Hemiptera; Cicadellidae. The record is from RNAcentral.